Molecule: long non-coding RNA, 1176 nt
Organism: Biomphalaria glabrata
Lineage: Eukaryota; Metazoa; Mollusca; Gastropoda; Planorbidae
Exons: 5
Source: RefSeq, a predicted model, not a curated record
UAGAUUUAUAGAUAUAUCUAGAUAAUCUAGAAUGCUAAGAAUCUAGAUCUAGAGAUUCUAUAGAUCUCUCUAGACUAGUUUUAUUAUAAUAUCUAAUAGUAGUAAUAGGCUACUAGAUCUAGUACGAUAUAAUAUUAUUAAUAUAUAUAUUAUAUCUAGACUUGAGACCUAUUAAAUCUAGAUCUAGACGACUUAGACUUAACUUAAGUGAUUAACAUUCAUGCGUUAUGACUAGAUUUACUGAUUUACUGUUUAGAAUAGAUUCUAGAUCUAGAAUCUACCAUGAAAUGGCUAAUGCAUCUGCAGCAUAGAAUUAGAUUUAGUUAAGGACUUACUAGAUCUUAAAUCUAAAUCUACUACCUUUUAACUUUUAGGGCAGAAUAUUAGAUCUAGUCUAUAUGCCUAUCUAGUCACGUAACUGUAAACUAAUACUUAGACUUAGGACUUUGGACACUUUGAGUUGAAGAUAUCUACUUGGUAGUCUAAACCUCAAAGGAGCUUAGGGAAGUGAUGGCAGUUGCAGGGUAUGAACCAGACGACCAUGCAGAGACCAACGAGGCAACCAAACAGUCCAUCGUGCAUACCACAUAACCAGGUCCAGAAUGCCAGUUUUCUUUAAGGGCAGCUGACAAUAAGAAUUGUCUAUGUAUGCACUACAGAUGCUGUUCAAUAUCUUUUCAUGAGGAAGCCUGCUCAAAAAGAUCGCCACAUUUUCUUUAGGGGAAGUUGACAUUAAUCUUUUAGGUUAAUAAUAACCUAUGCAUGCAGUACAGAUGCUGUUCAUCAUCUUUUCAUAUGCAAGCCUGCUCAAGAAGCUGCUGCAUGGAAGUCAAAAUAUGAAUUAUUGCCACCAGUCUUGAAGUCAGCUUGUAAAGAAUGCUAAGAAUUGAAUGAAAAUGCUGUCUUGAUAUCUUGUUUGUGCUGUUAUAUUUGUCUUUUGUGUUGGUUAAUUAUUCCAUGAAUAAAAAAUAAAAAAAAGUUAAUUGUGUAAGUUUGAUUUAAGAAUAAAUGAUCAGAGCAUGCAAGUCUUAUAUAGUGCGUUACCAAAAAUUGUAUUGUUUGAUAGUGUUCAAACCCAAAAAUGUAAUUUAACUUGUCCAUUACUUUAUAAAUAUGUUGACAUUAUAGCUAGAUGUAUAUAGAAAUCAUGCACUGAUUCAAUUAUUAUAAUUUCCA